RNAcentral lists this long non-coding RNA (816 nucleotides) under Sinocyclocheilus anshuiensis. RNAcentral describes it as "lncRNA (ENSSANG00000036324.1)". The record is from RNAcentral. Lineage: Eukaryota; Metazoa; Chordata; Actinopteri; Cypriniformes; Cyprinidae.
GGAAAGUCUUCGGUUCGGGUACAAGACUUUUCGUGAUAGACCCAAAGAAAGAAAUUGUUACGGUACCAGAGUUGACUGGAUACCGACCAUCAAAAAAAAACACUGACAUUCAUGGCAAACAGACAAUGUUAUGCCAUGCCAGUGGCAUGGUUCCUGACUUUGUGACAUUCAAAUGGCAAGAAAAGAGCGGUGCAGGACAGUGGACAGAUGUAUCAGAGGAAAAUGUUUUGGAGCAGAGGAAAGAAAGUCCAGCUGUCACUGUGACAAGUAUGAUGAUUGUAGAUAAAAACAUGGCAGAAAACAAGGACUACCAAUGCAUUGUUACCCAUGAGGGAAACACUGAGAAUCCUUCCAAAUCUCUUGAAAUGAAGAAAGAAAACAGUAAGCCGGCAAAGGAAUCUAAAAAUGAUGCUCAGAACCCAACAUGUUCACCCAGCACUGAGGAGACCAUAAAAAAGCAAAUAUCAGGAGAUUCAGAGCAAAUACCAAGUAUGUUCCUGUUUGUCUAUGCAUAUGGUGUCUUGCUCAUGAAGAACGGUUUAUUUUUUUGCAUUGUGUCUAUGUUUCAAUUAAAGAGAAAAGCUGGAAAGAAAGACAAAAGCUCAGAGACUUAAUGCAUAAGAUAAAUAUCAAGCAAGCAAAGGUUUAUUACAUAAAGCACAUUUCGCUAACUAAAGAAUAGAUGCAUAUCUACAGCAAUAUUAUUUCUGCUUAAAAUGUAUGGCUUUUAAAUUUGUUGUAGAUCUGCUUUGAACAAUUUACUUUUUCAUCUUUAAAAUGCAAUAUUUUGAUUUUUUAAAAUGUAUAAUGUACCCA